RNAcentral lists this long non-coding RNA (582 nucleotides) under Ananas comosus (pineapple). RNAcentral describes it as "long non-coding RNA (ACOM_LNC016692)". The record is from RNAcentral. Lineage: Eukaryota; Viridiplantae; Streptophyta; Magnoliopsida; Poales; Bromeliaceae.
AUAAAUUUUUUGGUAAACCUGAAAUUGGCUUCUAUGGUUUAGCUCAUUUUCACCUAUGUGGUUAAAAAAGUUUCACUUUAAAAUUUUGAGACUUAAAUUUUAUUUUACCAAAAAAUUCUAUAUGAAUUAGGAUGGCAAAUCAAAAGUUUUUAAUAAACUAUAGGACGGCAAAGUGAAAAAUGUACUAAAUUACAAGAAGGCAAAGUGUAACUUUUUGAACCAUUGGAUAGCAAAGUGAAAAUAAGUUAAAACACAGGAAGGCAAAGUGACAUUAUUUAAAACACAAGAUCACAAACUAGGGGUGCAUUUAACAUUUGAUAUUCUUAAAAUUUAUUUAACAUAGAUGAUCUCAACAUAUAGGAGAUCUCUAUAUAUAGAUUUGUAUACAAUCUCUAAAAUAUUAUAAUUAAAAAAAAGUCUAAUUCUUACGAAAUAUUAUAAUUAAAAAAAUAUAAUUCUUACGCGUCUGCAAAAAUCAGCAAUGUUUGCUUCUAAAGUUUAUUAUAUUAGGUAUAAAACAUUGUAAUUUUCAUAGAUGGAUCUUUUAAUGGUGUAGAUAAUGUUGGUUUGGAUUUAAAUUUU